AGUGAACGCUGGCGGUAGGCCUAACACAUGCAAGUCGAACGGCAGCACAGGAGAGCUUGCUCUCUGGGUGGCGAGUGGCGGACGGGUGAGGAAUACAUCGGAAUCUACUUUUUCGUGGGGGAUAACGUAGGGAAACUUACGCUAAUACCGCAUACGACCUACGGGUGAAAGCAGGGGACCUUCGGGCCUUGCGCGAUUGAAUGAGCCGAUGUCGGAUUAGCUAGUUGGCGGGGUAAAGGCCCACCAAGGCGACGAUCCGUAGCGGGUCUGAGAGGAUGAUCAGCCACACUGGAAAUGAGACACGGUCCAGACUCCUACGGGAGGCAGCAGUGGGGAAUAUUGGACAAUGGGCGCAAGCCUGAUCCAGCCAUACCGCGUGGGUGAAGAAGGCCUUCGGGUUGUAAAGCCCUUUUGUUGGGAAAGAAAUCCAGCUGGCUAAUACCCGGUUGGGAUGACGGUACCCAAAGAAUAAGCACCGGCUAACUUCGUGCCAGCCGCCGCAGUAA
RNAcentral lists this ribosomal RNA (506 nucleotides) under uncultured bacterium. Its description in RNAcentral is "partial 16S ribosomal RNA". It matches the Rfam family "Bacterial small subunit ribosomal RNA", at positions 29 to 523 of the family's 1533-position model. The record is from RNAcentral.